CUACCGGCACCGAGAGGUGCCGGGAUGGGUCGGCGGAAGUCAGCCGAGGGCAUAGUAGGCCGUUCGACUUGGCUGAAGGCC
This 81-nucleotide non-coding RNA is filed under the name uncultured Desulfatiglans sp. The record is from RNAcentral. Lineage: Bacteria; Pseudomonadati; Thermodesulfobacteriota; Desulfobacteria; Desulfatiglandales; Desulfatiglandaceae.